Cottoperca gobio is the source of this 228-nucleotide long non-coding RNA. RefSeq lists it as uncharacterized. The transcript has 3 exons. The record is from RefSeq and is a predicted model, not a curated record. Lineage: Eukaryota; Metazoa; Chordata; Actinopteri; Perciformes; Bovichtidae.
UGCAUGUGGGAGUCAGGUGACUGGGGGAGAGGGGACGUGGCUGAGGAGAAGGACAGAGACACAUGGUCACAUGGUCGUACAACCAACAAACAUUGCAACCUUCACUGAGUAUAAAUAUCCCAGCUGACACAGACAGCCCCAGAUUCUCCUGCCGCCUCGUGUCCGGUUUGAAAGCACAGAGGAGUUAAAGCAGAUCUACGAUGAACAGCGAAGGACAAGAGCUUGCAC